Molecule: ribosomal RNA, 426 nt
Filed under: uncultured Actinomycetes bacterium
Lineage: Bacteria; Bacillati; Actinomycetota; Actinomycetes
Description: bacterial SSU rRNA
Rfam family: Bacterial small subunit ribosomal RNA
Source: RNAcentral
GCGGCCUAUCAGCUUGUUGGUGAGGUAAUGGCUCACCAAGGCGACGACGGGUAGCCGGCCUGAGAGGGCGACCGGCCACACUGGGACUGAGACACGGCCCAGACUCCUACGGGAGGCAGCAGUGGGGAAUAUUGGGCAAUGGAGGAAACUCUGACCCAGCGACGCCGCGUGCGGGAUGAAGGCCUUCGGGUUGUAAACCGCUUUCAGCAAGGAAGAAGCGAAAGUGACGGUACUUGCAGAAGAAGCGCCGGCUAACUAUGUGCCAGCAGCCGCGGUAAUACAUAGGGUGCAAGCGUUGUCCGGAAUUAUUGGGCGUAAAGAGCUCGUAGGUGGUUCGUCACGUCGGAUGUGAAAAUCUGGGGCUUAACCCCAGACCUGCAUUCGAUACGGGCGAGCUAGAGUGUGGUAGGGGAGACUGGAAUUCCU